Molecule: non-coding RNA, 93 nt
Organism: Brassica napus (rape)
Lineage: Eukaryota; Viridiplantae; Streptophyta; Magnoliopsida; Brassicales; Brassicaceae
Source: Rfam
GUGAUAAUGAUGAAGCAAAUAAUCUAAUCCAACACUUGAUCUGAUUUAUGCUAUGUGCAUCUGAUGCUAUAACAGUUUAGCUUCUGAAUCCCC